Molecule: long non-coding RNA, 11139 nt
Filed under: Gossypium barbadense (sea-island cotton)
Lineage: Eukaryota; Viridiplantae; Streptophyta; Magnoliopsida; Malvales; Malvaceae
Description: long non-coding RNA (GBAR_LNC015656)
Source: RNAcentral
UUCAACUGUUCUAGAAUGAAUUCUUCAAUUACCUCCAUUGAUUCCUUAUCAGUCACAACUGAGUAUUUGGCCAUAGAUGAAAAGCUAGAAGCAGAGAAGCUCAAAAAAUCUAGUAACAGCUGCAAAAUUAAGUUUAACAAGAUAAACAAAACUUUUAAGAUAAUAAGAGAUAUUAGAACAGUUUCAGAAUUGAAGAAAAUAUAAGCAUUUCAUAUUAAAAGACCAACUAAAUUUUCUCAACAUUCAACACUGAAGGCAAAACUCUUACAUUUUUCCACUGAAAGUUAAUGAUAUUUGUAAUGGAAAGAAUUAGUUAACUCUCAUGGAUCAGAUAAAUAGACUCAAGAAGUGUAAGUCAAGUAGCUUAGCAUGAAAUGCAUGUCAAAUAGGAGUAACCUUAGGUGCCUCAAUGCACUUUCCAAUGCAUCAUUAUGAUAUUAACACUCUAGCUUUCUAUCAAGGAAACAAAUAGAAGAGUCACCUUGAUUGGGGCUUGAAACUAUUAGGCCAUUAAAUUCAGGCAUUUGAUAACUAGCUAAUUAAAUGCCUAAGUUCAUUUUAUAAUUACAAAGUAGAACCUAUGACUAACUUCAUGCUGGGCAGUGUUUACCUCAAAUCAUAAAUUACAAAGCCUGCCUUCAACAUGAAAUGAGAAAAAUAUAGCAUGAUGGAUAUGAGUUCAGGAAGUCAGCAACAAUCAUAAGAAUCUAUGACACUGCCAUACAAGGAUCAUUUCAAGACUAACAAAAUUUGACAAUAUAUAAUUAUUUAUCCAAAUAAAGGAAAGGAAAACAAAUGACAGCAUUCAUAGUAGAAAAUUUUGCAAAGACAAACCCUUUUUUUUAUAAAGGAAAGCUUUCCAGACAACUAACAACUUCUCCUCACAAGCGAUUGAUGCUUGAAACUAUCAAAUAUCAUGUACCUGGUAAAUGAGGCUGCACUGUUCUUGUUUUAGAGAUUCCUCAGUUGACAUAACAGUCAUUUUAAGAUACUUUCCACACCAUAUGCUUGCCUAGAGGGCUCAUACGUUAAAUUACUUAAGAAACUGCCAUUGAAUUUGAGUUGCAUUCAAGCAAGCACGGGGAGAAUUCUAUCUUAAAGUAAAUUGAAAUACACAUACCUUUGAUCCAAGUAAAAGAAACUGUAAUAAACAUUCGAAAAUAUCUAAAUCAAGAUAUUUUGCAGCCACAUGCAAAAUAGUCUUGUUCAAUAGACACUGCGACACAUCCAAGCAAGUAUAAUCUUCCCAGAAUGUCCAUUCUCUUGUUAAGGAAAUAACAAUAACAUGACAAAAGAAGGAGAAAACCAAAUCUAAUUCAAAAGAGAACUCCACAUAAACCGACCUAAUCUUUCAAUCCUUCCCAUAAUUUCUCAUCUUUAGAGUAAAUAUUUAUGGAAAAGUUUACAUACUUGAGAAAUAGAAAAAAAAUUAUGCACCCAAAAAAUUGAAAAAAACAUUAUAAGAAAAUAGCAAUAAAGUGGAUACAAUUAGGGAUUCAGCAAGAGAUUUCACAUCAGAUUGUUCAGAUAAAUGUAAAUCUACUAAUUUGGCAAUCAGUUCCGUCCGACCUUCUACCACCUGCAAUGUACAAUAAUUUUCUUUUCCAUUUCAGAUUUCUCAAGAACCAAAAAAACCAUUACCAUUUCCAUAACUUCAAACCCUAAACUAUUACCAUAGAUAACUUCUUGAAUCGCUAAAGAAUAUCCAAAAAAUAUGGAAAUGUAAUGAAAUGGAAAGUAAAUUUUCAACAACAAUAAUAAUAAAAGCUUACCUCUGAAAUUUUUAUGGCUUAUAUGAGCUUCUGCAACUCGCUGCUCGAACUUGAGUUCUCCAUCGCUAGUCUUUUUUUUUUCUUUUUCAAAUUGCAGGUUUUGAGGACUAUGUCUAUUUAUAUUAUCAAUUUUUCCCUCUUUUUAUUUUUGCGUGUUGCCAUGCCUAUUUCCAGUUUUCCCGCCCUUAGUGAGGAAAAUUGUAAUACCCCAAAAAUUACUACAGUAAGAAAGUAGGAUAAUAUCCUUGAUAUAGUAAAAUAAGGAAAUAAAGUGGUAAAAAGGGUAAUAUUGACUUAUGUCAACAUUGGGAAGUAUAUUAUGACAUAUUAAUUAAAGAAAGGAUUAAAUUGUAAAGUGAGAAACGUUUUGUUGCCCAAGAGUAAAUACUCAAAAUUUGAGGGGUUAAAGUGUAAAUACAAAAAAAAUUGAAGGACCAAUAGUGUAAAUAUUUUAAGAGUGGAAUAAUCUAGAAAGUAGGGAAAAUGGAUGAAUUAGGACCAAAUUGAAAAGGUGAAGAAUUUUGAGGGAAUAAAUUGCAAUUUUACCAAAUUAAGUGAUGACUCAAGGAUGAAAUUUCAAAAGAUUAUAAAGGGAAAAAUGGUCAAAUAGAGAGAGAGAAUUCUAGAAGGUAAUGAUGAUGUUUGCGAUAUUUAUAAUUAAUUAAAUAGAUAAAUGUUAUUUAAUUAAUAUUUUAUUAAUAUUUUUAGUAUUAUUUUAUUGUUAAAUGAUUAAUAUAAAAGGGAGGAAAGAUGAUGAAAAAAUUAUCAUCUUUUCCAUUCAACCAACGUGAGAAGAGAGGAAAAGAAAGAAGUUUUCCUUUCUUUACAAUUUGGUCCUCCCACAAAAAAUUCACCAUUUUCACUUAUAAAUCAAAGAAAUUUCCAUAGCCACCAAGAGAGAAAAUUGAUAAGGAGACAAUGGGGAGCUAGAAUAGCAAGUUAGAUUCAUGAAAUAGAAGCUGAAGGAGAGAGAAAAUCAGGUUAAAGAUUGAAAUUAAUAGCACAAGGUAAGAACAUCAAGAUUUCAAUAUAUUUUUAAGUUUGAUAUUAUUGAAAAAGCAUGGAAAUAAUGUUAUAGUAGAGUUUUAUUAUAUAAGGUCUUAAGUUCUUGAUACAUUAGUGAAGAGAAAUAAGUGAAAGUGAUGGGAAAUGUUAUAGAGAAAGGGAAUAAGGGAGUUAUACACCUAGUAAUCAACAUUUUGCACUAAAACAGUUUUGGACAGCAGCAGUAGGUUAACUUUGAAAAAUCACCAUAAAUUGUGGAAAUCGAAUUAGAGUAUGAAUAAAAUAUGGAAUUAAAUAUUAUUAAGUAUAGUUUCUCAUAGAAGAAACGGUGUAAGUAAUGAAAUGGUAAAUCAUGAGAUAUAAUAAAUUUUGUUAGAUAAGGUCAGAAUGAAUUCGGGUUCCCCUAUUUUGAAUUUGGAAAAUCAUGAAAAAUUGAAUACAAAUAAUUAAAGACUUAAAUUUGUAUGUUUAAAAUAUUUAAUGAGUCUAUUUUCAAUAUAAACAAAUGGAAACAUAAUCCAAAUUUUGUACCAAGAGAUAAUUAAUUUUUAGUGAAGAGGGGUCGGAACUGUCAAACAGUGAAAUAGGGGAACCUUUAAAGAAUAAACUGUACUUAUUGACUAAACCAAAAAUUCUGAAAAUAUUAUGGUAAGAAGAUAUGUGAGUCCAGUUUCAUAGGAAUUUAGCGGAUCUUAAUUUUGAGUUCCGUAGCUCAAGAUAUAAAUAAUUUAGUGACUAUGACUCAAGUGGACAACUUUGAAUUAAUAUAUAAAUAAAUGGUGGAAUUAUAGAUAAUGUUACAUAUAAGCAUAUUAUACAUUAAGGAUGUGGAAUGGAGAGGAGGAGAAGGAAAAUAAAUGAUUUCAACUAGCAUGAGUUCUCAUUAAAAAUGGGCAAUUUGCAUGUUUUAGGUUCAAGGACUAAAUUGAAUAAAAAUAAUAUUUUAAGGGUAAAUUGGUAAAGAUGUUAAAAAGUGACCAAAUUGCAUGAAAUGAAUUCUUUUAUUAUUUAAAUUAAUAAAUUGAAUGAAAUAUUAAUUUAUAUCAAGAUUGGGUGAAAAUUCGAGAAAAAUAGAAAAUUACCAAAAUGUCUCUAAAUUUUGGUAUUUUUGCAAUUUAGCCUGGUAAGUUCGUGUAACUUGCAUUAUAUUCUUAGAUGAUUGGAAUAUAUAUAUUGGAUUGAGAAAUUGAUUUGAAUUGUGAACAUGAGAAAUUGUGAAUUGAAUGAAAUGGAAAUGAAGUUUUGAAUUACAUGAGUAAAUAUCAGGUCUCGUAGGCCCUAUUUGUUAUGAAUAUAAUAUUUGGAGGAUAUGUUGUAAAAAAAAAAAUAUAAAAGCACGUUAAUAAUUUAAAAGUUUUAAUUCGGAUGAAAUUUUGUAACUCGGUUUAAUACAUAUGCAAAUGUAUGUCUUCUAGUAAUGCCUUGUACCCUAUUCCGGCAUUGAAUACGGGAAAGGGGUGUUACAAUGUGACAUCGCCAGAUUCGGUCAUAACGUUUAGACCGGGUUUGGGGUGUUAUAUUUAGUGAUAUCUAUGCUAUGAUUUAGUGGGUUCUCGGACUAACAUAGUGUAUGUGAGUUUAACUAUACAUGUCAUUUUAUUACUCGUGAUAAUGUAAUAUAUUCCGACUCUAAUGAAAUUGUUUUGUAAGACAGAGAUGACUUCUAACCGAGUUGUUUCCAAUAAUGCUAAAAAAAUUUUACGUUGAGGUGAUUGAAAUAUUUUUAUGAUGAAACGAAAUUUAGAAGGGUAUGAAUAGAAAAUUCAUGAUAAGUAUGUGUUAACGUAUGAAGUAAGACAACAAUGAGUUGAGAAAUGUAGCAACGUAGAAUAAAAUAAAAGUUUAUAUGGUGAUAUGCUCGUCCGCGUUUGCUUGGCGCGCCUAUGAUGUUAUGUGCUCAACAUAUUUGAUUAAGUAAAUAUGGUAAGUAAAUAUACGCAAAUAGAUGGAAUGUAUGUUUAUGUACACUUGCUUGAAUAAGUGUAAUCAAUAUGUUUAUAUGAUAGAAUCUUAUGUUUAAUUGUUAAAUUAGAAAUAAUAUGAUGUUUGUUUGAUGUCUUUGCUAUUGAACCAUGAAUAUUAUAAUAGUAUGAAAAUUGAAUUGAAAGAUCAAAUUGAGUAGAACACAGGAAUGAGUACUUUCGUUCAGUGAUAUGUGAUGAAUUGAUGGAAAAGACCAUGGUUGGACCGUGCCAACAUGUGAUAUGUGAUUUCCGUGUAAGACCAAAUCUGGGAUAUGGCAUCAACGUGCGAUCUUGUAUAAGACCAUGUUUGGGACAUGGCAUCGACAUUGAAAUAUGAGCUAGUGUAAGACCAUGUCUGGGACAUGGCAUUGGCAUUAUUGAAAUUAUGAGAGGUCCCAUGUAAGACCAUGUCUGGGACAUGGCGUUGGCACCGAGAUGAGAGGUCCCCCGUAAGACCAUGUCUGGGACAUGGCAUGGGCACCGAUAUGAGAACUCCCAUGUAAGACCAUAUUUGGGAUAUGGCAUUGGCAGUACAGGAAACAUUCCAUGUAAGACUGUCUGGGACAUAGCUUUGGCAUGUUAUAUUCAGAUAAGAGACUUGAGUAUCCUUAGUAUUCCAAGUAAUUCAACGGGCUAGUAAAGAAAUUAUGUUACAUGAAAGUUCAAGUAAAAGUAUGAUAAAUAGAUUCAGAUUUAGGUGAGUAUAAGGAUUAAGAAUAUUUCAGUUAUCAGUUGAGAAAAUAAUUUCAAUAAGGAAGGAGUAAGUUAUAAUCAUGAGUUGUUUAAGCAAGCAAGUAAGUAAACAAGUAAGAAAGUAAAUAAAGAAGAAGUUAAAUUUGAUGAGACAAAAUAUUCAGGUAUGAUACCUAAAAGAAUGUAUGUAUUAAUUGGAAGUUUUUUUUAGUGAAUUGAAUAAAGUGAGGUUCGUGAUAACAUAAUUAGUCAGAGAAAUGAUAAUUAAGUGGUAAAGAUGUCUGUGUGUGAAGGUUACAGUUGAAAUGAACAUGAUGAUCUUUUCUGGAUAUUAUGUAUGUUCUUUUAUUCUCAGAUAUAUGUAUGUGUAAUUGUUCGGUUCGGUUAAUGACCGGUUAUUGUUCUGUUUUGCAUGCAUAUUUAGAAAGUGUAUUGUUUUGCUACAAGAAAUAAUGUGCUGAUGACUAAAUUGCAAAACAUGUAAACGUGAUAUGUGAAGUACAUGAUAUGGAUUAUUAGUAAAUUACGGAUGAAUAAUGAAUUUUGAAAUAUAAUACAUGUAUUAAAGGUAGAGAAGAUAUAAAUAUACGGAUUAUUGAUACAAGAAUUAAAUUGUAAAUCAUGUAAAAGCAUUAUGAGAAAAGUGUAAAAGUGAUAUGCAUGCAUGAAAUAACUUGCCCAAGUAGAUGAGAUUAGAACUAUUAGGAUAUUAAGGGAGUUUAGCGUGCUAUCUGAUUAUUAGCACAUUAGUGCUCUCUGAUUAUUAGCAUAUUUAUGUUCUCUGUAUAAUACUUUAGUGCUUUCUGUUUAAUAGUGCAUAAUAAUGCACCUCUGUAUCAGUUCCGUAUAUUCUAAGUAUUCUGUUUAAUCUACUGGGCCUCUGGUAAAAAAGAUAAAUAAUUUUCGUUACAAGGUAAAUAUUUACCUCUGAUUCAUGUUUGAAAUAUUGAAUUAAAAAUAAAUUAUGAAAUGAAAGGAUAAAGAAUGAAUACAAACACUAAGCUAGUAAAUAUGUACAGAAGGGAACUAUAGAAUGAUAGAGAUGACUUUAAGAAAACUAAAUGAAGAAAGGACUUCUGGUUAUGAAGAAAGAGAGAAAAUAAGAACUCGAUUAAGUAAAAAGAAUAAUAUUAUUGAAAAGGAAGUACAAAAUGAUAUAAAAACUAGAAAUGUUAGUGAUAAGAAUGGAUAGAAAAGGAUAAUUGAAAGAAUAUAGAAAUGAUGAAGUUCAUGAUCAAAAUAAAACAAGGAAAUUUCAAGGACGAAAUUUAUUUUAAGGGGGAGAGAAAUGUAAUACCCCGAAAAUUACUACAGUAAGAAAGUAAGAUAAUAUCAUUGAUAUAGUAAAAUAAGGAAAUAAAGUGAUAAAAAGGGUAAUAUUGACUUAUGUCAACAUUAGGAAGUAUAUUAUGACAUAUUAAUUUAAGAAAGGAUUAAAUUGCAAAAGUGAGAAACGUUUUGUUGCCCAAGAGUAAAUACUCAAAAUUUGAGGGGUUAAAGUGUAAAUACAAAAAAUUUGAAGGACCAAUAGUGUAAAUAUUUUAAGAGUGGAAUAAUCUAGAAAGUAGGGAAAAUGGAUGAAUUAGGACCAAAUUGAAAAGGUGAAGAAUUUUGAGGGAAUAAAUUGCAAUUUUACCAAAUUAAGUGAUGACUCAAGGAUGAAAUUUCAAAAGAUUAUAAAGGGAAAAAUGGUCAAAUAGAGAGAGAGAAUUCUAGAAGGUAAUGAUGAUGUUUGCGAUAUUUAUAAUUAAUUAAAUAGAUAAAUGUUAUUUAAUUAAUAUUUUAUUAAUAUUUUUAGUAUUAUUUUAUUGUUAAAUGAUUAAUAUAAAAGGGAGGAAAGAUGAUGAAAAAAUUAUCAUCUUUUCCAUUCAACCAACGUGAGAAGAGAGGAAAAGAAAGAAGUUUUCCUUUCUUUACAAUUUGGUCCUCCCACAAAAAAUUCACCAUUUUCACUUAUAAAUCAAAGAAAUUUCCAUAGCCACCAAGAGAGAAAAUUGAUAAGGAGACAAUGGGGAGCUAGAAUAGCAAGUUAGAUUCAUGAAAUAGAAGCUGAAGGAGAGAGAAAAUCAGGUUAAAGAUUGAAAUUAAUAGCACAAGGUAAGAACAUCAAGAUUUCAAUAUAUUUUUAAGUUUGAUAUUAUUGAAAAAGCAUGGAAAUAAUGUUAUAGUAGAGUUUUAUUAUAUAAGGUCUUAAGUUCUUGAUACAUUAGUGAAGAGAAAUAAGUGAAAGUGAUGGGAAAUGUUAUAGAGAAAGGGAAUAAGGGAGUUAUACACCUAGUAAUCAACAUUUUGCACUAAAACAGUUUUGGACAGCAGCAGUAGGUUAACUUUGAAAAAUCACCAUAAAUUGUGGAAAUCGAAUUAGAGUAUGAAUAAAAUAUGGAAUUAAAUAUUAUUAAGUAUAGUUUCUCAUAGAAGAAACGGUGUAAGUAAUGAAAUGGUAAAUCAUGAGAUAUAAUAAAUUUUGUUAGAUAAGGUCAGAAUGAAUUCGGGUUCCCCUGUUUUGAAUUUGGAAAAUCAUGAAAAAUUGAAUACAAAUAAUUAAAGACUUAAAUUUGUAUGUUUAAAAUAUUUAAUGAGUCUAUUUUCAAUAUAAACAAAUGGAAACAUAAUCCAAAUUUUGUACCAAGAGAUAAUUAAUUUUUAGUGAAGAGGGGUCGGAACUGUCAAACAGUGAAAUAGGGGAACCUUUAAAGAAUAAACUGUACUUAUUGGCUAAACCAAAAAUUCUGAAAAUAUUAUGGUAAGAAGAUAUGUGAGUCCAAUUUCAUAGGAAUUUAGCGGAUCUUAAUUUGGAGUUCCGUAGCUCAAGAUAUAAAUAAUUUAGUGACUAUGACUCAAGUGGACAACUUUGAAUUAAUAUAUAAAUAAAUGGUGGAAUUAUAGAUAAUGUUACAUAUAAGCAUAUUAUACAUUAAGGAUGUGGAAUGGAGAGGAGGAGAAGGAAAAUAAAUGAUUUCAACUAGCAUGAGUUCUCAUUAAAAAUGGGCAAUUUGCAUGUUUUAGGUUCAAGGACUAAAUUGAAUAAAAAUAAUAUUUUAAGGGUAAAUUGGUAAAGACGUUAAAAAGUGACCAAAUUGCAUGAAAUGAAUUCUUUUAUUAUUUAAAUUAAUAAAUUGAAUGAAAUAUUAAUUUAUAUCAAGAUUGGGUGAAAAUUCGAGAAAAAUAGAAAAUUACCAAAAUGUCUCUGAAUUUUGGUAUUUUUGCAAUUUAGCCUGGUAAGUUCGUGUAACUUGCAUUAUAUUCUUAGAUGAUUGAAAUAUAUAUAUUGGAUUGAGAAAUUGAUUUGAAUUGUGAACAUGAGAAAUUGUGAAUUGAAUGAAAUGGAAAUGAAGUUUUGAAUUACAUGAGUAAAUAUCAGGUCUCGUAGGCCCUAUUUGUUAUGAAUAUAAUAUUUGGAGGAUAUGUUGUAAAAAAAUAUAAAAGCACGUUAAUAAUUUAAAAGUUUUAAUUCGGAUGAAAUUUUGUAACUCGGUUUAAUACAUAUGCAAAUGUAUGUCUUCUAGUAAUGCCUCGUACCCUAUUCCGGCAUUGAAUACGGGAAAGGGGUGUUACAAUGUGACAUCGCCAUAUUCGGUCAUAACGUUUAGACCGGGUUUGGGUUGUUACAAAAAUGAAAAUUUAGAUUUCAACCCUCAAAAAUUUUUGAAUUUCCAUUAGUGGUCCAUAGUUUAUGUAUCUUUUAGGUUUUUUUUCAUUUGAAAAUUGAAAUGAACGAAUUAAAGUGACAUAAUAAAGAAACUAUAAUUGGCCCAAAGAAUAGACCACCUAUGUCUGGUCAUUUUAGCUUUGAUCGCAAUAACAAGAAAAGAUGUCAUGUAAUUUGACAAAGCUCAAGGUUAUCUCAAGUAAAUUAGUGGAAUCCGUUUGGUAAACCAGCAAUUAGUGGCCAAAUAAUAGAACUGUCGAAGAAUCUAACUCUCCUCCUGGCCUCCACUUAGAAUUUGUUACUAUCAAAACUUGAAGUGUUAGAAAGGAUUGGAAGUAUCGCUUAUUUUAUUCCUUUUCAAGUUUUACCUAAGCUUAUAGAUUGAGUUCCAAUUCAUUGAUGGGAAAAAAAGGUGAGCUCCACACACCACCAGAAAAUUUCUUUUCUACAUGAAAUAUCUUCUCAACAGCUUGUAUUGCCCUGAACUAGGCACUCAUUAGAGAAUAGACUAUCGUAAUUAGGCUUAUUUAAUGCCUAAACCAAAUUAUGGUUAUUAUGUUAUCUUUAAAUCAUAUAACUUAUACGAUAAAUCAUAUUAUGUUAUCUUUAAAGUACCAUAAUUUGGUACAUAUAGUGUGAUAAAUCAUAAUAUUUGUGAUUAAUGAUCGAAAGGUAAACUUCCACAAAACUCAACAGAUCUGUGGUACUCAAUAAUUUGAUCUAUCUUGAAAUAAAUUAAAUAAUUUAACCCCUAUAGAGAAAAAAAACAGUGUUAACUACUUUCUGUAAUAAACUAUUAAGAUAAGGAGAAAUAUAAUCGCAAUCAAAAUAAAUGGGACAAUUUGAGUCUAAGCUAGUCUGGGCAAUUGAAGUGACACUAAUCAUUUUCAUUGAUAAAAUUUUAUGUUAUCUUGAUUUGUAUGGAGUAUUGGUUAGAACUUGUGUCAAUUACUUAUUUGAUAUGAGUUUAAACAGUGUGACCCUUAUUGCUAUCAUUAAUAUUGUAAAAAAAAAAGUAAAAAUAUAACUACAAUAGUGAUAAAAAAAACAGCUAAAUGCACAAUUGGUUUAACUCUAAAAAUCUAAUAAAAAUAAAAAAAUAUUAAAUAUUCUAAACAUUUAAUAGCUCAAGGGAAAAUUUCUAAAGAGUUUUUAUUAUUAUAAGAAUUCAAAUAUUUAUGAACUAGUUUUUGUACCAGUUCACAGGUUAACCAAAUUUUUAACAGUUUAUGAACAACACAUUUUUGUUUUUGAUUAUUUGGUACGCUCAAAAUAUCAAACAUUUUAUGAACAAAUAAUCAAAAUUGAUAACAGUUCACUACUUAAUAUUAUGCCACAAAAGAUCCUGCAAAUGCAACAUAAUUUCUAAAAAAAAUGAUUCCAAAAUUUGAAUUCACUAAGGGAGAGAACCCUAAUUAUUGGAUUCCUAAAAGAAAUUAACUUAACAAGUUCAGUUCUCACAAAAUGAACUAGCCACAGCGUAUUCAUUCCAGAAACAUUGACAUACUCCCCAAAAUAACAACAAUAAUAAUAAGACUAAAACUUCAAAAUAAACCCAUUUCGAGAAACAGAUAAUUUCAAUAAAAAAAUUUAUACAUAGCAAACCAAAAAAGAUAAAUAUCGAAGAAAAAAAAGACAAACUUUACUAAAUUAAUCGAGAGAUGACCGAAACUGACCUUCAAAUCCUGAAAAUGGAGUCCGUGAAUAGAAACUAGACUCUAAAAAAAAUGGAGUCCGUGAAAAUGACAUUUGACCGGAACGACAACACUCCACAGUGUAUUGAUGGAAGAACGAGCAAGACGACACAAUGGUGAUAGGCGCCGGCGAUAGAGGAAGCGGGUGACAGAGCGGCCGCCGAAGUGGAGAUGGCAACGGCGUUGGAUAGGUGGAGGUGGUACUGAUUUGGGAAUAGAAAGUGAUUUUUUUUAUUAGGAAAUAAGAAACUUAUUUGGGAAUAGAAUAACUUGGGGGAAAUUGGGGAAAAUAAUUUGGGGAACAAUAAAUUGAGGGAAAUUGGGAGAAAAGAAGUUGGGAAAUUGGGUAAAUGAAAUCGGGG